UACGGGGGGGGCAAGCGUUGUUCGGAAUUACUGGGCGUAAAGGGCUCGUAAGCGGCCAACUAAGUCGGAUGUGAAAUCCCCAGGCUCAACCUGGGAACUGCAUCCGAUACUGGAUGGCUUGAAUCCGGGAGAGGGAUGCAGAAUUCCAGGUGUAGCGGUGAAAUGCGUAGAUAUCUGGAGGAACACCGGUGGCGAAGGCGGCAUCCUGGACCGGUAUUGACGCUGAGGCGCGAAAGCCAGGGGAGCAAACGGG
This 253-nucleotide ribosomal RNA is filed under the name uncultured bacterium. RNAcentral describes it as "partial 16S ribosomal RNA". It matches the Rfam family "Bacterial small subunit ribosomal RNA", at positions 524 to 776 of the family's 1533-position model. The record is from RNAcentral.